This is a long non-coding RNA of Egretta garzetta (little egret), 1172 nucleotides long. RefSeq lists it as uncharacterized. The transcript has 4 exons. The record is from RefSeq and is a predicted model, not a curated record. Lineage: Eukaryota; Metazoa; Chordata; Aves; Pelecaniformes; Ardeidae.
UAGAAAGAGCAAGCCUGGAAGUGUUUGAAAGAUGGCUUUUAGACCUGGGGUUUCCUUCCUGCUCUGUACACUACAUGGAACAAGUGAGGAUAGCAGCUGUAAAACUUGUUGGCAGAAAUUCUGAAGGAGACAAGAUACAAGUUAAGAGUGUCUUGGGCCAGGAGUCAAUGUAUGAAAGAAGACCAAACUCAACCCAUACAACUGCCAUUCAAGGGAAUUUUCUGCCUUUAAAAGGAGAGGUUAUCUGCUGUGAAUGCUUCAAAAUCAAAUCUGUUAUUCAGAAGAUGCCGUCCAAUGAAUAAAUUGGCCUCCUUUUCUGAUGUGAACACUGAUUUAAAAAAAAGGCGCCAUGAGGCCUCAUGGAGUACGUUGUGAGGUGAGAUUCCAGAAGAGUUAGUGAAAUUAUAGAAGGCUUUGGAAUACAGGAAUGCAUUUUCUCACCAGGCGUUUUCCAUAGUCAAGUUUUAGCUUGCUCUUGCUACAGCUUCUUUAAAAAAAAAAAAAUCUUUAUAUGACAGAACAAGUUUUCUGGCUUGGUUUUCAGUGAAAGCUUAAUCUGUACUCCCAAGAAAUUCAGACCAUUUGGUUAAGCAAAAUGAUUAGAGGAUUAUUUUUGCAAGUGUAACGCAGAAACAGUAUUGUUACAUACCAAGCCAGACAGCUAAAAAAAUGAGAUUCAGAAUGCCGUUACUCAGCUACAAAUUAGCUAUGUGUUCUUAUUAGCUCGUUUGUCGAGAUUAGCACAUCAUUCGGGAAUUUUUACCCUAAUAGUAACUGUUAGAUCUUGCAAUGGUAUGUCAAAAUUGUUUGCUCUCUUAAAACUAAGAAACUUGCAGUGUAACUUGCGUAUCAUUUGUUUACGUCUUUAAUGUUAUAGUAUUGAAGGAAUAUUACCGUAUAUAUUUACAUAAUAUUACAGUACAUAUUUGAAGGAGCCACACGUGUGCGCACACGUUGUGUAGGAAGGGAAAUCUGUUACUCUAAAGUAAUUGCAAGAAAAUCUAAGGUUAGAGUACUGUUAUAUCUAAGAGUAACCAGAGAGAAAGACUUCAUCCAAAAAGAUCCCGCAAACCCACACGUGGAAAGGGAAAAGAAUUACAUGGAAGAAAAUAUUAUCAGUAUCUUGGUUGAGUGCAAAUCACAAGAAUAAAUUCAGUCUUCUGAAACAGAGA